Molecule: ribosomal RNA, 301 nt
Filed under: uncultured bacterium
Lineage: Bacteria
Description: partial 16S ribosomal RNA
Rfam family: Bacterial small subunit ribosomal RNA
Source: RNAcentral
CAGUAGCCGCGGUAAUACGUAGGGUGCAAGCGUUAAUCGGAAUUACUGGGCGUAAAGCGUGCGCAGGCGGUUUCGUAAGACAGAUGUGAAAUCCCCGGGCUUAACCUGGGAACUGCAUUUGUGACUGCGAGGCUAGAGUGUGUCAGAGGGGGGUGGAAUUCCACGUGUAGCAGUGAAAUGCGUAGAGAUGUGGAGGAAUACCGAUGGCGAAGGCAGCCCCCUGGGCCAAUACUGACGCUCAUGCAUGAAAGCGUGGGGAGCAAACAGGAUUAGAUACCCCUGUAGUCCCUGUCUCUUAUAC